RNAcentral lists this long non-coding RNA (407 nucleotides) under Helianthus annuus (common sunflower). Lineage: Eukaryota; Viridiplantae; Streptophyta; Magnoliopsida; Asterales; Asteraceae. The record is from RNAcentral.
UUAUCUUCUCCAAACAAGAUACUGACUUGAGCGUCGGAGUGUCCUCGGGGUAAACCCUCUCGGGCCCUCUAACCAGAUUUUCGUGUGGCUGUAGUCCGAGACCCGAUGCCCCGCAAGAGGAACCGUGGUCUGGUCGGGCCAAGGCUGAACCUGAACCAUGGUUAACCGCUUGCUGCCCAUUAUGCGGGUCCAGGUCUAGGAAGUACAAUUAUGGUGCACAUGUCAACUGCUGGUUUGGGCCAUCCAUUUAAUUGGUUGGAAUGGUGAUCUUCCUACACAUUUCUGACUGAUUGUUCUGUUCAUGUGAUAGCAAUCAAUGUCCAAGACUACAAUUCUAGUGUGUUAUCAUAUACUUUUUGAAUGUUACAGAAACCAUGUUCCAACAUUUUUAUGACAAUUCUUUUCUC